This 490-nucleotide ribosomal RNA is filed under the name uncultured bacterium. Its description in RNAcentral is "partial 16S ribosomal RNA". It matches the Rfam family "Bacterial small subunit ribosomal RNA", at positions 30 to 507 of the family's 1533-position model. The record is from RNAcentral.
AUUGAACGCUGGCGGCAGGCCUAACACAUGCAAGUCGAACGGUAACAGGAAUCCGCUUGCUGAUUCGCUGACGAGUGGCGGCCGGGUGAGUAAUGUCUGGGAAACUGCCUGAUGGAGGGGGAUAACUACUGGAAACGGUAGCUAAUACCGCAUAACGUCGCAAGACCAAAGAGGGGGACCUUCGGGCCUCUUGCCAUCGGAUGUGCCCAGAUGGGAUUAGCUAGUAGGUGGGGUAAAGGCUCACCUAGGCGACGAUCCCUAGCUGGUCUGAGAGGAUGACAAGCCACACUGGAACUGAGACACGGUCCAGACUCCUACGGGAGGCAGCAGUGGGGAAUAUUGCACAAUGGGCGCAAGCCUGAUGCAGCCAUGCCGCGUGUAUGAAGAAGGCCUUCGGGUUGUAAAGUACUUUCAGCGGGGAGGAAGGGAGUAAAGUUAAUACCUUUGCUCAUUGACGUUACCCGCAGAAGAAGCACCGGCUAACUCCGUG